Molecule: transfer RNA, 72 nt
Filed under: Candidatus Falkowiibacteriota bacterium
Lineage: Bacteria; Candidatus Falkowiibacteriota
Description: Candidatus Falkowbacteria bacterium tRNA-Arg
Rfam family: tRNA
About the family: Transfer RNA (tRNA) molecules are approximately 80 nucleotides in length.
Source: RNAcentral
GUUCCCAUAGUUCAAUGGAUAGAACAAGAAUCUCCUAAGUUCUAAAUCCAGGUUCGACUCCUGGUGGGAACA